This is a non-coding RNA of Epinephelus lanceolatus (giant grouper), 338 nucleotides long. The record is from RefSeq and is a predicted model, not a curated record. NCBI's taxonomy places the organism in Eukaryota, Metazoa, Chordata, Actinopteri, Perciformes, Serranidae.
GUGCACUGACCAGCUCAGGACUGAGGAUGAAAAUGCUGUUCUUCCUCAGAUCUCUGAUGCUGUCUGUGUCAUGGCCCCUAGCAACAACCUAACGGCCAGCAAGACACCUAAGCAAGGAGGCAUAGCUUUUGGCCAAUACCUGGCCACUGUCUGCAGCGUCUGGCCGACUGCACAGGUCUUCGCUGGGACCUUGUCCCACACUUGACAGUCCCGGGGGAUAUCCAGGAGUUUUUCCGGCAUGAAUUUCUCCACGUGUCAGCACGUCUCGGUGUGAAAUAUUUUCACCACGCUGACCGCUUCCCCCUGAACAACCGCAAGCUGUGGUGCUGUGAUGGUGU